Molecule: ribosomal RNA, 253 nt
Filed under: uncultured bacterium
Lineage: Bacteria
Description: partial 16S ribosomal RNA
Rfam family: Bacterial small subunit ribosomal RNA
Source: RNAcentral
UACGUAGGGUGCGAGCGUUAAUCGGAAUUACUGGGCGUAAAGCGUGCGCAGGCGGUUCGUCGUGUCUGAUGUGAAAGCCCCGGGCUCAACCUGGGAAUGGCAUUGGAAACUGGCGGACUAGAGUGUGGCAGAGGGGGGUGGAAUUCCGCGUGUAGCAGUGAAAUGCGUAGAGAUGCGGAGGAACACCGAUGGCGAAGGCGGGUCUCUGGGCCGAUACUGACGCUGAGGAGCGAAAGCGUGGGGAGCAAACAGG